GUCACACUUUCUCCAUGGGCAGUUUCCUUUCUCACAUUUUCUCUCCUCUCUCUCCCUUUCUUUGGUGCCCGAUACUCCCUUUCUCUCCGUUUUCUCUAUUUUCUUCUUUUUUCUUUUAUUUUUCGUUUCCUUGCUCCUCUCCAUUUUCGCUUGCUCUCUUCCCUUCUUCUUUUUUUCGUGCUGCGUCUUUGGCCAAACCCCAAACCAAACCUGCCGCCUCUUCAACUUCCUUGACCAUAAAGUUCCUCCUUCUCCCAAUCCCCAACGCGGUUCUGAUGGCGUUGCCUCCUCCGACAUCACCGUUACCCAUUCUGGCAAUCUCUGGUUCCGCCUCUUCAACCCAAGCCCUACUACCGCUGGUGGCAGAAACGGAGUAUCCAGAGAAGAAACCCAAUAUUGUUUUAUGCUGCUGCUGCUCAUUGCUCAUGAUUCUAACCAAGUUGUGGACAGUUUUGGUGGACAGUUUUAACCGAAGUGACAUGUAUUUUGGGCUGGUUUUAAGUUCGGAAAUGGCAUGUAUAGUGGGUUGGUUUUAAGUACGAAAAUGGCAUAUAUUGUGGCUUGGUUUGUAUAUGGUUAUGUUAACCAAAAUGACAUGUAUUUCUUGUCUAUGGUUUUAUUAUAAGUACUGUAAUUAGUUGUUAUUAUUUGGGUUGUUUCUCUCAUUUAUGGGUUUGGAUUGUUAUUAUUUGGGCUCAUUUGCUGUAUAUGUGCAAGUUUGGAUUGUUCAUAUUUGCUUGGAUUGGUGCAAUAAGUGGUGCCAGAAUGUGAAAAUGUUGUGGAAUUUUUUAUAUAAAUCAUUGGCUUCAAAUU
Molecule: long non-coding RNA, 813 nt
Organism: Carya illinoinensis
Lineage: Eukaryota; Viridiplantae; Streptophyta; Magnoliopsida; Fagales; Juglandaceae
Exons: 2
Source: RefSeq, a predicted model, not a curated record